This 554-nucleotide long non-coding RNA is filed under the name Ricinus communis (castor bean). Its description in RNAcentral is "long non-coding RNA (RCOM_LNC000158)". The record is from RNAcentral. Lineage: Eukaryota; Viridiplantae; Streptophyta; Magnoliopsida; Malpighiales; Euphorbiaceae.
AAAAGAAAAACAAAAGCGAAAGCGAAAGAGAGACAAAAGAUUCUUAAUCACAUGAUUAAUUAGAUUUAGAAGUGAAAAUAAUGAAAUGGGGAAAUAGAACGUAAAUGCAAAAGCUGCUGUGUUUUGUUGAUGAUGGUGUUGUUAUUAGGAGAUAAAAAGAAGGCCCACAGAUAGUGGAGAACGAGUGGCAGAAGUAGCACCACCACAGGCAGUGUUCGGGUGAUUGCCUAGAGCCAACCAGCCAUGACUGGCUGGGUUAGGGCUGGCAUCUCCUACCUUUGUCUUUAUAGCCGGCAACUCUUUAGACACACUCGGUUUUAGGUCUCCUUAUUGUCUCCUUUUGCUUUUCAUCCCCUCCACAUCUAUAGCUACCUCAUCUUCUUUCCAUAUCCUCUCUCUCUCUCUCUCUCUCUUUCUCUUUUGGGUUCCAAAUGUGCCUCAAAUAUUUAUUUACUUCCUGCUUCUGUAAUUUUCAAUCUUUGCAAUGAGUAACUGUAUUUUCAAGUGCUGGGUUUAUUUAACAUAAUCUGUAUGAGUUAAUACAUGCUUCCCGA